Molecule: small nuclear RNA, 22 nt
Filed under: Arabidopsis thaliana (thale cress)
Lineage: Eukaryota; Viridiplantae; Streptophyta; Magnoliopsida; Brassicales; Brassicaceae
Description: snRNA_04627
Source: RNAcentral
AUGAUGAAGAAAAGAGUUAGCA